Molecule: long non-coding RNA, 247 nt
Filed under: Nicotiana benthamiana
Lineage: Eukaryota; Viridiplantae; Streptophyta; Magnoliopsida; Solanales; Solanaceae
Description: long non-coding RNA (NBEN_LNC001209)
Source: RNAcentral
GCUCAACCAAAUGUCUUGGUACACGGCAAAUUUUUGCCCAGUGCCCUUCUCCACCGCAACGAGAACACAUAGUUUCUGAACUAUUUGCUUUUGGAUCCUCAUAAUUCUGUUUCCGCUUUUGGUAGUUAUCUCUCUUUGGGGGUGACUAACACCAGGAAAAUUUCUUCCUUGUCCACGUCCACGCCCAUGACCCCGAUCACGACCACGACCACGAUUAAAGCCAUAGCCUUUUCCACGCUUAGCAUAA